GACGAACGCUGGCGGCGUGCUUAACACAUGCAAGUCGAACGGAAAGGCCUCUUUCGGGGGGUACUCGAGUGGCGAACGGGUGAGUAACACGUGAGUAACCUGCCCUUGACUUUGGGAUAACUUCAGGAAACUGGGGCUAAUACCGGAUAGGAGCUCCUGCUGCAUGGUGGGGGUUGGAAAGUUUCGGCGGUUGGGGAUGGACUCGCGGCUUAUCAGCUUGUUGGGGGGGGAGUGGCUUACCAAGGCUUUGACGGGUGGCCGGCCUGGGAGGGGGACCGGCCACAUUGGGACUGAGGUACGGCCCAGACUCCUACGGGAGGGAGCAGUGGGGAAUAUUGCACAAUGGGUGGAAGCCUGAUGCAGCAACGCCGUGGGCGGGAUGACGGGCUUCGGGUUGUAAACCGCUUUCGCUCAUGACGAAGCUUUGUGUGACGGUAGUGGGUAAAGAAGCACCGGCUAACUACGUG
This 467-nucleotide ribosomal RNA is filed under the name uncultured bacterium. RNAcentral's name for it is "partial 16S ribosomal RNA". It matches the Rfam family "Bacterial small subunit ribosomal RNA", at positions 28 to 507 of the family's 1533-position model. The record is from RNAcentral.